UACGGGGGGGGCAAGCGUUGUUCGGAAUUACUGGGCGUAAAGGGCUUGUAGGUGGCCAACUAAGUCAGACGUGAAAUCCCUCAGCUUAACUGGGGAACUGCGUCUGAUACUGGAUGGCUUGAGUUUGGGAGAGGGACGCGGAAUUCCAGGUGUAGCGGUGAAAUGCGUAGAUAUCUGGAGGAACACCGGUGGCGAAGGCGGCGUCCUGGACCAACACUGACACUGAAAAGCGAAAGCCAGGGGAGCAAACGGG
Molecule: ribosomal RNA, 253 nt
Filed under: uncultured bacterium
Lineage: Bacteria
Description: partial 16S ribosomal RNA
Rfam family: Bacterial small subunit ribosomal RNA
Source: RNAcentral